AGGGCACCACCAGGAGUGGAGCUUGCGGCUUAAUUUGACUCAACGCGGGGAAACUCACUUGGUCAGGACACUGUAAGGAUUGACAGAUUGAAAGCUCUUUCUUGAUUCGGUGGAUGGUGGUGCAUGGCCGUUCUUAGUUGGUGGAGUGAUUUGUCUGGUUAAUUCCGAUAACGAACGAGACUCUAUCUUGCUAACUAGUCGCAGAUUUAUUCUGACUGUUGAGCUUCUUAGAAGGACAGGUGGAUUUAACCAUACGAGAUUGAGCAAUAACAGGUCUGUGAUGCCCUUWGAUGUCCGGGGCCGCACGCGCGCUACACUGAAGUGAUCAGCGUGCAUUCUAUGCCUACUCUGUCAAGAGUGGGAAAACCAAUGAACCUUCUUCGUGAUUGGGAUAGGAGAUUGUAAUUAUUYUCCUUGAACGARGAAUUCCCAGUAAGCGCGAGUCAUAAGCUCGCGUUGAUUACSUCCCUGCCCCUUGUACACACCGCCCCGUCGCUACUACCGAUUGAAUGUUUUUWK
This 519-nucleotide ribosomal RNA is filed under the name uncultured eukaryote. RNAcentral's name for it is "bacterial SSU rRNA". It matches the Rfam family "Eukaryotic small subunit ribosomal RNA", at positions 1172 to 1722 of the family's 1831-position model. The record is from RNAcentral.